This 445-nucleotide ribosomal RNA is filed under the name uncultured bacterium. RNAcentral's name for it is "bacterial SSU rRNA". It matches the Rfam family "Bacterial small subunit ribosomal RNA", at positions 330 to 792 of the family's 1533-position model. The record is from RNAcentral.
CCCAGACUCCUACGGGAGGCAGCAGUGGGGAAUAUUGCACAAUGGGGGAAACCCUGAUGCAGCGACGCCGCGUGAGUGAAGAAGUAUUUCGGUACGUAAAGCUCUAUCAGCAGGGAAGAAAAUGACGGUACCUGACUAAGAAGCCCCGGCUAACUACGUGCCAGUAGCCGCGGUAAUACGUAGGGGGCAAGCGUUAUCCGGAUUUACUGGGUGUAAAGGGAGCGUAGACGGCAUGGCAAGUCAGAUGUGAAAGCCCGGGGCUCAACCCCGGGACUGCAUUUGAAACUGUAAGGCUAGAGUGUCGGAGAGGCAGGCGGAAUUCCUAGUGUAGCGGUGAAAUGCGUAGAUAUUAGGAGGAACACCAGUGGCGAAGGCGGCCUGCUGGACGAUGACUGACGUUGAGGCUCGAAAGCGUGGGGAGCAAACAGGAUUAGAUACCCCAGUA